GACGUCACCAAACCCUGCCCCUUGUCCAGCCUCAGGAAUAACGUCAUUUCCUGUCUUUUAUUUUAUGAAGGAAAGUGGGCCUGGAGUUUUAAGGUGUUCCCUGUGGCUGUGCAGCUUGAAUGGUUCUCUGUGACCUGCUCUGAGCUCUGCUGUUGUGUGCUGUGAGAGGACUUCAGGGAAGCUCUGAAAUCCACACAUGGGGAUUGAGGGUUUUAAUCCCUUCUGCUCUCCUGGACUGCAUUACAUAGACCAUGCUGGUGUCCGGCUCAACGACUUACACCUGCUGUUACCCCUCUGAUUAAAGAAAUGAGGAAAUACACCCAGGUUGCCGAGCAUUUUUAUAUAUCAUGCUUUGGGUUGUACACUGCUUUAGGGAGCAGUGACUUUUGAUGAUGUGCAAGUGAACUUCACUGAGGAAGAGAGGGAAUCGUUGGAUCCAUCCCAGAAGAAUCUCUACAAAAAUGUGAUGUUGGCGACCUUCCUGAACCUCAAAGCUCUAGGCUCUAAUUGGGAAGACCAUGAUAUUGAAGAACAUUUUGAAAAUUCUAGAAGAUUUAAAAGGUAAUUUUCUUGUGCCAGCUGAUACAAAUAUAUCUCUGAGGAAAUUUUAAUAUGUUCUUAAAACUCUAAAGAAAAGCAAGAGGGUAAAAUAUCUGUCCUUUAAGUGUAGCUAUGAUUAAAAUUUUCUAACAAAACCAUGGACCUCAAAAUAAGUUAUCAGAGUUGUGUAUCCAUUUGCUGUGUAGCUCCAUUAGAACUAUGCUGUGGAACUGCUAAUCUGUACAGUCUCAAGUUACUUAGAUAUCAUAUUGACAUUGAAUAGUAAUAAAUAUAUAUCAAAAACCUUCUAAUAAGCAAAAAGUCCAUGAUAAAGUUGGUGAUGCUAAUAUUCUUGUAGGGGCAUUUUUAAAUUUGUUGAGAGGGCAGUUUAUGAGACUCAAGAAUGUUGUUUUGGAUAAAUAUUAAUGUAUAUACUACAUGUUAUAAGAAAUAAAAAUUCAAACAGUGAA
Apodemus sylvaticus (European woodmouse) is the source of this 1010-nucleotide long non-coding RNA. RefSeq lists it as uncharacterized. NCBI's taxonomy places the organism in Eukaryota, Metazoa, Chordata, Mammalia, Rodentia, Muridae. The record is from RefSeq and is a predicted model, not a curated record. The transcript is spliced from 5 exons.